This 469-nucleotide ribosomal RNA is filed under the name uncultured bacterium. RNAcentral's name for it is "partial 16S ribosomal RNA". It matches the Rfam family "Bacterial small subunit ribosomal RNA", at positions 28 to 507 of the family's 1533-position model. The record is from RNAcentral.
GACGAACGCUGGCGGCGUGCUUAACACAUGCAAGUCGAACGAGGAAGCACCAGCUUGCUGGUGUGGAUUAGUGGCGAACGGGUGAGUAACACGUGAGUAACCUGCCCCUCACUCUGGGAUAAGCCUGGGAAACUGGGUCUAAUACUGGAUACGACCGAUCUCCGCAUGGAGUGUUGGUGGAAAGUUUUUGUGGUGGGGGAUGGACUCGCGGCCUAUCAGCUUGUUGGUGGGGUAGUGGCCUACCAAGGCGACGACGGGUAGCCGGCCUGAGAGGGCGACCGGCCACACUGGGACUGAGACACGGCCCAGACUCCUACGGGAGGCAGCAGUGGGGAAUAUUGCACAAUGGGCGAAAGCCUGAUGCAGCGACGCCGCGUGAGGGAUGACGGCCUUCGGGUUGUAAACCUCUUUCACCAGGGACGAAGCUAACGUGACGGUACCUGGAGAAGAAGCACCGGCUAACUACGUG